RNAcentral lists this ribosomal RNA (253 nucleotides) under uncultured bacterium. RNAcentral's name for it is "partial 16S ribosomal RNA". It matches the Rfam family "Bacterial small subunit ribosomal RNA", at positions 524 to 776 of the family's 1533-position model. The record is from RNAcentral.
UACGUAGGGAGCAAGCGUUGUUCGGAUUUACUGGGCGUAAAGGGCGCGUAGGCGGCGCGGUAAGUCACUUGUGAAAUCUCUGAGCUUAACUCAGAACGGCCAAGUGAUACUGCAGUGCUAGAGUGCAGAAGGGGCAAUCGGAAUUCUUGGUGUAGCGGUGAAAUGCGUAGAUAUCUGGAGGAAUACCGGUGGCGAAGGCGGCAUCCUGGACCGACAUUGACGCUGAGGAGCGAAAGCUAGGGGAGCAAACGGG